This 74-nucleotide transfer RNA is filed under the name Scleropages formosus (Asian bonytongue). Its description in RNAcentral is "tRNA-Pro". Lineage: Eukaryota; Metazoa; Chordata; Actinopteri; Osteoglossiformes; Osteoglossidae. The record is from RNAcentral.
CAGCAGGUGGCACAGUGGUUAGUGCUGCAGCAUUUGGACUCAGAAGUCACAGGUUCAACCCCACCUCCUGCUGC